Molecule: ribosomal RNA, 254 nt
Filed under: uncultured prokaryote
Description: partial 16S ribosomal RNA
Rfam family: Bacterial small subunit ribosomal RNA
Source: RNAcentral
ACGGGGGGAGCAAGCGUUGUUCGGAUUUACUGGGCGUAAAGGGCGCGUAGGCGGCCACCGCAAGUCGACUGUGAAAUCUCCGGGCUUAACUCGGAAAGGUCAGCCGAUACUGUGCGACUAGAGUGCAGAAGGGGCAACUGGAAUUCUCGGUGUAGCGGUGAAAUGCGUAGAUAUCGAGAGGAACACCUGCGGCGAAGGCGGCUACCUGGACAGAUACUGACACUGAGGCGCGAGAGCGUGGGGAGCAAACAGGA